This 861-nucleotide ribosomal RNA is filed under the name bacterium. RNAcentral's name for it is "bacterial SSU rRNA". It matches the Rfam family "Bacterial small subunit ribosomal RNA", at positions 26 to 870 of the family's 1533-position model. The record is from RNAcentral.
AGAUGACGCCGGCGGCGUGCCUAAUACAUGCAAGUCGAGCGAACAGAUAAGGAGCUUGCUCCUUUGACGUUAGCGGCGGACGGGUGAGUAACACGUGGGUAACCUACCUAUAAGACUGGGAUAACUUCGGGAAACCGGAGCUAAUACCGGAUAACAUUUGGAACCGCAUGGUUCUAAAGUGAAAGAUGGUUUUGCUAUCACUUAUAGAUGGACCCGCGCCGUAUUAGCUAGUUGGUAAGGUAACGGCUUACCAAGGCGACGAUACGUAGCCGACCUGAGAGGGUGAUCGGCCACACUGGAACUGAGACACGGUCCAGACUCCUACGGGAGGCAGCAGUAGGGAAUCUUCCGCAAUGGGCGAAAGCCUGACGGAGCAACGCCGCGUGAGUGAUGAAGGGUUUCGGCUCGUAAAACUCUGUUAUUAGGGAAGAACAAACGUGUAAGUAACUGUGCACGUCUUGACGGUACCUAAUCAGAAAGCCACGGCUAACUACGUGCCAGCAGCCGCGGUAAUACGUAGGUGGCAAGCGUUAUCCGGAAUUAUUGGGCGUAAAGCGCGCGUAGGCGGUUUCUUAAGUCUGAUGUGAAAGCCCACGGCUCAACCGUGGAGGGUCAUUGGAAACUGGGAAACUUGAGUGCAGAAGAGGAAAGUGGAAUUCCAUGUGUAGCGGUGAAAUGCGCAGAGAUAUGGAGGAACACCAGUGGCGAAGGCGACUUUCUGGUCUGUAACUGACGCUGAUGUGCGAAAGCGUGGGGAUCAAACAGGAUUAGAUACCCUGGUAGUCCACGCCGUAAACGAUGAGUGCUAAGUGUUAGGGGGUUUCCGCCCCUUAGUGCUGCAGCUAACGCAUUAAGCACUCC